UAGGGAAUCUUCGGCAAUGGACGAAAGUCUGACCGAGCAACGCCGCGUGAGUGAAGAAGGUUUUCGGAUCGUAAAACUCUGUUGUUAGAGAAGAACAAGGACGUUAGUAACUGAACGUCCCCUGACGGUAUCUAACCAGAAAGCCACGGCUAACUACGUGCCAGCAGCCGCGGUAAUACGUAGGUGGCAAGCGUUGUCCGGAUUUAUUGGUCGUAAAGCGAGCGCAGGCGGUUUAUUAAGUCUGAUGUGAAAGCCCCCGGCUCAACCGGGGAGGGUCAUUGGAAACUGGGAGACUUGAGUGCAGAAGAGGAGAGUGGAAUUCCAUGUGUAGCGGUGAAAUGCGUAGAUAUAUGGAGGAACACCAGUGGCGAAGGCGGCUCUCUGGUCUGUAACUGACGCUGAGGCUCGAAAGCGUGGGGAGCAAACAGG
RNAcentral lists this ribosomal RNA (429 nucleotides) under Gemmatimonadota bacterium. RNAcentral's name for it is "Gemmatimonadetes bacterium partial 16S ribosomal RNA". It matches the Rfam family "Bacterial small subunit ribosomal RNA", at positions 355 to 776 of the family's 1533-position model. Lineage: Bacteria; Pseudomonadati; Gemmatimonadota. The record is from RNAcentral.